RNAcentral lists this ribosomal RNA (294 nucleotides) under uncultured bacterium. RNAcentral's name for it is "partial 16S ribosomal RNA". It matches the Rfam family "Bacterial small subunit ribosomal RNA", at positions 29 to 352 of the family's 1533-position model. The record is from RNAcentral.
AACGAACGCUGGCGGCAGGCUUAACACAUGCAAGUCGAACGCACUCUUCGGAGUGAGUGGCAGACGGGUGAGUAACGCGUGGGAAUCUACCCAGCCCUUCGGAAUAGCUCCGGGAAACUGGAAUUAAUACCGAGUACGCCCUACGGGGGAAGAUUUAUCGGGUUGGAUGAGCCCGCGUUGGAUUAGCUAGUUGGUGGGGUAAUGGCCUACCAAGGCGACGAUCCAUAGCUGGUCUGAGAGGANGAUCAGCCACACUGGGACUGAGACACGGCCCAGACUCCUACGGGAGGCAGC